This 366-nucleotide long non-coding RNA is filed under the name Phoenix dactylifera (date palm). Its description in RNAcentral is "long non-coding RNA (PDAC_LNC003548)". Lineage: Eukaryota; Viridiplantae; Streptophyta; Magnoliopsida; Arecales; Arecaceae. The record is from RNAcentral.
UUGGAUCAAUUAUGUUUUUUUUAAAAAAAAAAAUUGGGCAUUUCAUAUUGUUUACACAUGAGUACAGCAAGACCAGUCAAAAGAAAGAAGGUUCAAACUUUGCCGAAAGAGCGAUUAACUUUAAACGUUCCAAACUUUUUCUGUAUGCAAGAUAAGGCGAUGGCGAUUUUUGUGCUCCUCGAUCCAGGAGAGGCGGAGUAGGAUGCAAGCGGCGUUCUUGCGUGCAGCAGGGAUGCGGCUCUUGAGGGCGUGGUCAAUGGGGGCGGAUGGCACCUGCGGGGGCGAAGAAAAAGGCAUUUGGCGCCAUGCUCUUGAAGUUGUUCUUCAUGUUGUGCCUGGCGAGGAGGAGGAGGAGGAGGAGGAGGA